RNAcentral lists this ribosomal RNA (1343 nucleotides) under uncultured bacterium. RNAcentral describes it as "16S ribosomal RNA". It matches the Rfam family "Bacterial small subunit ribosomal RNA", at positions 28 to 1378 of the family's 1533-position model. The record is from RNAcentral.
GACGAACGCUGGCGGCGUGCUUAACACAUGCAAGUCGAACGGAAAGGCCCUGCUUUUGUGGGGUGCUCGAGUGGCGAACGGGUGAGUAACACGUGAGUAACCUGCCCUUGACUUUGGGAUAACUUCAGGAAACUGGGGCUAAUACCGGAUAGGAGCUCCUGCUGCAUGGUGGGGGUUGGAAAGUUUCGGCGGUUGGGGAUGGACUCGCGGCUUAUCAGCUUGUUGGUGGGGUAGUGGCUUACCAAGGCUUUGACGGGUAGCCGGCCUGAGAGGGUGACCGGCCACAUUGGGACUGAGAUACGGCCCAGACUCCUACGGGAGGCAGCAGUGGGGAAUAUUGCACAAUGGGCGGAAGCCUGAUGCAGCAACGCCGCGUGCGGGAUGACGGCCUUCGGGUUGUAAACCGCUUUCGCCUGUGACGAAGCGUGAGUGACGGUAAUGGGUAAAGAAGCACCGGCUAACUACGUGCCAGCAGCCGCGGUGAUACGUAGGGUGCGAGCGUUGUCCGGAUUUAUUGGGCGUAAAGGGCUCGUAGGUGGUUGAUCGCGUCGGAAGUGUAAUCUUGGGGCUUAACCCUGAGCGUGCUUUCGAUACGGGUUGACUUGAGGAAGGUAGGGGGGAAUGGAAUUCCUGGUGGAGCGGUGGAAUGCGCAGAUAUCAGGAGGAACACCAGUGGCGAAGGCGGUUCUCUGGGCCUUUCCUGACGCUGAGGAGCGAAAGCGUGGGGAGCGAACAGGCUUAGAUACCCUGGUAGUCCACGCUGUAAACGGUGGGUACUAGGUGUGGGGUCCAUUCCACGGGUUCCGUGCCGUAGCUAACGCUUUAAGUACCCCGCCUGGGGAGUACGGCCGCAAGGCUAAAACUCAAAGGAAUUGACGGGGCCCCGCACAAGCGGCGGAGCAUGCGGAUUAAUUCGAUGCAACGCGUAGAACCUUACCUGGGUUUGACAUGGAUCGGGAGUGCUCAGAGAUGGGUGUGCCUCUUUUGGGGUCGGUUCACAGGUGGUGCAUGGCUGUCGUCAGCUCGUGUCGUGAGAUGUUGGGUUAAGUCCCGCAACGAGCGCAACCCUUGUUCACUGUUGCCAGCACGUUAUGGUGGGGACUCAGUGGAGACCGCCGGGGUCAACUCGGAGGAAGGUGGGGAUGACGUCAAGUCAUCAUGCCCCUUAUGUCCAGGGCUUCACGCAUGCUACAAUGGCUGGUACAGAGAGUGGCGAGCCUGUGAGGGUGAGCGAAUCUCGGAAAGCCGGUCUCAGUUCGGAUUGGGGUCUGCAACUCGACCUCAUGAAGUCGGAGUCGCUAGUAAUCGCAGAUCAGCAACGCUGCGGUGAGUACGUUCCCGGG